AAAGAAACUAACAAGGAUUCCCCUAGUAACGGCGAGUGAAGCGGGAAGAGCACAAAUUUUAAAUCUACCUGGUUUUCAGGUCGAGUUGUAAUUUGAAGAAGUGUUUUUUACUUUCCGGGUUGGGUUAAAUCCUUUGGGAUAAGGUAUCAUGGAGGGUGAGAAUCCCGUGUAUACCAACCGCAGGAUUGUUUAAUAUACGCUUUCUAAGAGUCGAGUUGUUUGGGAAUGCAGCUCUAAAUGGGUGGUAAAUUUCACCUAAUGCUAAAUAUAAGCGAGAGACCGAUAGCGAACAAGUACCGUGGGGGAAAGAUGAAAAGAACUUUGAAAAGAGAGUUAAAUAGUACGUGAAAUUGUUGAAAGGGAAACGGUUGAAGUCAGUCAUGCCGGCGGGAAUCAACUUAGGGGAAACUCUGAGUGCACUUCUUCGCUUGGCAGGUUAGCGUCGAUUUUGGAUGUCAUAAAAUGACUGGGGGAAGGUAGCUCUUUCGGGGGUGUUAAGCCCUUGGUAGAUGUGAUGUCCGGGAUCGAGGAUUGCAACGGAUACCUUUUGGGCUAGCCGCCUAGUCUCUAAUACGAAGUUGGGUUAUGGACAGCACGCUGACUGUGAUCUGAUUUUCGGUUAAAAGAUUAGAGCAGUGUAAAUUCGUUAAGGACGCUG
This 658-nucleotide ribosomal RNA is filed under the name uncultured Scutellospora. RNAcentral's name for it is "eukaryotic LSU rRNA". It matches the Rfam family "Eukaryotic large subunit ribosomal RNA", at positions 58 to 628 of the family's 3401-position model. Lineage: Eukaryota; Fungi; Glomeromycota; Glomeromycetes; Diversisporales; Gigasporaceae. The record is from RNAcentral.